Molecule: ribosomal RNA, 450 nt
Filed under: uncultured bacterium
Lineage: Bacteria
Description: partial 16S ribosomal RNA
Rfam family: Bacterial small subunit ribosomal RNA
Source: RNAcentral
GUGGGGAAUUUUGGACAAUGGGCGCAAGCCUGAUCCAGCAAUGCCGCGUGCAGGAAGAAGGCCUUCGGGUUGUAAACUGCUUUUGUACGGAACGAAACGGUCCUGGUUAAUACCUGGGGCUAAUGACGGUACCGUAAGAAUAAGCACCGGCUAACUACGUGCCAGCAGCCGCGGUAAUACGUAGGGUGCGAGCGUUAAUCGGAAUUACUGGGCGUAAAGCGUGCGCAGGCGGUGCUGUAAGACAGGCGUGAAAUCCCCGGGCUCAACCUGGGAAUUGCGCUUGUGACUGCAGUGCUGGAGUACGGCAGAGGGGGAUGGAAUUCCGUGUGUAGCAGUGAAAUGCGUAGAUAUGCGGAGGAACACCGAUGGCGAAGGCAGUCCCCUGGGCCUGUACUGACGCUCAUGCACGAAAGCGUGGGGAGCAAACAGGAUUAGAAACCCGGGUAGUCC